AUUGAACGCUGGCGGCAGGCCUAACACAUGCAAGUCGAGCGGAUGAAGGGAGCUUGCUCCUGAAUUCAGCGGCGGACGGGUGAGUAAUGCCUAGGAAUCUGCCUGGUAGUGGGGGAUAACGUCCGGAAACGGGCGCUAAUACCGCAUACGUCCUGAGGGAGAAAGUGGGGGAUCUUCGGACCUCACGCUAUCAGAUGAGCCUAGGUCGGAUUAGCUAGUUGGUGGGGUAAAGGCCUACCAAGGCGACGAUCCGUAACUGGUCUGAGAGGAUGAUCAGUCACACUGGAACUGAGACACGGUCCAGACUCCUACGGGAGGCGGCAGUGGGGAAUAUUGGACAAUGGGCGAAAGCCUGAUCCAGCCAUGCCGCGUGUGUGAAGAAGGUCUUCGGAUUGUAAAGCACUUUAAGUUGGGAGGAAGGGCAGUAAGUUAAUACCUUGCUGUUUUGACGUUACCAACAGAAUAAGCACCGGCUAACUUCGUG
This 484-nucleotide ribosomal RNA is filed under the name uncultured bacterium. RNAcentral describes it as "partial 16S ribosomal RNA". It matches the Rfam family "Bacterial small subunit ribosomal RNA", at positions 30 to 507 of the family's 1533-position model. The record is from RNAcentral.